AUUGAACGCUGGCGGCGUGCCUAACACAUGCAAGUCGAGCGGUAACAGGUGUAGCAAUACAUGCUGACGAGCGGCGGACGGGUGAGUAACGCUUGGGAAUCUGCCUGUUAGUGGGGGACAACCCGGGGAAACUCGGGCUAAUACCGCAUACGCACUACGGUGGAAAGCCGGGGACCGCAAGGCCUGGCGCUAACAGAUGAGCCCAAGUCGGAUUAGCUAGUUGGUAGGGUAACGGCCACCAAGGCGACGAUCCGUAACUGGUCUGAGAGGACGACCAGUCACACCGGAACUGAGACACGGUCCGGACUCCUACGGGAGGCAGCAGUGGGGAAUAUUGGACAAUGGGCGAAAGCCUGAUCCAGCGACGCCGCGUGGGUGAAGAAGGCCUGCGGGUUGUAAAGCCUUUCGUGGGGAAGAAAAGCCUCGAGUUAAUACCUCGGGUCUUGACGUAACCCAUAGAAGAAGCACCGGCUAACUCUGUGCCAGCAGCCGCCGUAAC
RNAcentral lists this ribosomal RNA (499 nucleotides) under uncultured bacterium. RNAcentral describes it as "bacterial SSU rRNA". It matches the Rfam family "Bacterial small subunit ribosomal RNA", at positions 29 to 524 of the family's 1533-position model. The record is from RNAcentral.